UCGUUCCCUCUCCCAAGGCAACCUUCAAACACCACAUCUCCUCUAGGUACAAUAGCGGCUCACACCAUCUGCACCCAUUUGUAGUUGAUACAUAACAAUGGCCUCCACGAACAGCUGGACCCUCGAGUUGGAGUCAAAGGUGUCCGCUCCACGCAUGUUGAGGGAGAUGGCGGCGUCGGCAGCGUCCGACACUACAAUUGUGGCUCAGCCAUUCCAUUCAACGUCAUGAAGAAGAAGGUUGAGUUCCUUGAUGUGGACAAAUGCGAGUGCAGAUACACCCUAGAGUGUGACGGUGUUGAGACGUCCACAUGGAGCAUCAAGAUGAAGCCAACGGCCAACGGUGGGAGUGUGGCGUAGGUGGAAUGCACGUCCAAGGGCGUGCAGGAUAAUGACAUGAUGCUCAAGGCCAAGGACUCUGCUGCCGAAAUGUUAAAGAAUGUUGAGGACUAUCUCAUCGCCAACCCUGACGCCUACAACACUAGUAGACAACAGACCUUUUGUCCAGCACCCUUGGGAGCAAUAGUCCCGGUUUAAAAGCAAACCGGGACCAAUGGGGGGCAUUGGUCCCGGUUCGUUCGGCGCGGGGUGACCCCACCCUUUGGUCCCGGUUCGUUUGGGGUCUUUGGUCGCGGUUUGUAAUACAAACCGGGACUAAAGGGGGCGUGUCAGACCGUGUCAAGCCUCUUAACCCUUUGGUCCCGGUUUGCAACCGGGACCAAGGGCCCAUCUGCCUACAUAUACCUUGCCCUGCCCAAGUAUGAGACACACUUAGCCAUUUUUCCACUUCUUAUCACAAGAGGGGUGUAUGUUGCUUUGCCCUCUUCAUAUGCACAAGAGGUGUUUGAUGAAAUGCCUAAGAGGUUUUGCCACUUGAGUUCACACAAAACAAGCCGCACUUAACUAUCU
This is a non-coding RNA of Lolium perenne, 906 nucleotides long. NCBI's taxonomy places the organism in Eukaryota, Viridiplantae, Streptophyta, Magnoliopsida, Poales, Poaceae. The record is from RefSeq and is a predicted model, not a curated record.